Molecule: long non-coding RNA, 867 nt
Organism: Dermochelys coriacea (leatherback sea turtle)
Lineage: Eukaryota; Metazoa; Chordata; Testudines; Dermochelyidae
Exons: 3
Source: RefSeq, a predicted model, not a curated record
AACUCUUGCAGAUUCCAAAGCUCCUCAGCGAAGCUCUGACAGGGGCCAGGGCAGGGGCUGUGCUGAAGCAGGCAGAAGCAUCCAGGAGGGCGGCCCAUGAGGGCAUUGUAUGGUUCCAGACCAUCUUGAUGCCACAUCAUCAGCACCGAAUAACAAUCCCAGGGGCCUCUGCUUUUGAUUCAGAGGAUUCCUUGCCCAUCUUUUUUCAGGGCCUCAGCAACCCCGGUGCUGCGCAAUGUUCUGCCUGCAUGUUUUCCAGCUCAGCUGAACCAACCACCACUGAAAGCCAUCAGCACUGCAGAGCCAGGCUAACUGUACAAGUGGCACCUCUGGUCUCGGCUGUCUGCUGCAUCAACGAAUCCCCAGCACAGUCCUGACUCCACAGUCUCAAUUGCUGGUGCUGAGAACUGGCAGAGUAAUAGCGAUCGCUGCGUCUCUAGAGGCAGGGGUGAGUGUCUAGCCUGGCAGCCAGGCCGGGCUUGGCCAGAGGGGCUGUGCGGUCCAGGAGAUAGAGCACUGAACAGGGACACAGCAGCUGGGGGUUCUAUUCCCAGCUCUUCUGCAGGGGUGACUUGGUGGCGGGCUCUUCCUCUCCCAGCAAGGGGCCCAAUGCCUUGUCCUGGCUUUGGGACUGUUUCCAUGGCAACACAAAACACCGGAAGACCUCUGAGCUGGGAUAUAACCCUAAAUGCAACACUUGCUGCUGCAGACUGUCCCCAUGGUGAUGGUUGCCAGGCAAACAGCGAGGUGCUUUCAGCUUGAAGUGUGAUAAGAAUAUCGCCUGCUACCUAGGACAAGGACUGCCAGCCCUCUAGCUCCAGAGCAGAACUCCAACACUCGCUGCCUAGAGUUAGGAAGGCCUGAUGG